GAUGAACGCUAGCGGCAGGCCUAAUACAUGCAAGUCGAACGCUCAGUAGCAAUACUGGGAGUGGCGCACGGGUGCGUAACGCGUACACAAUCUACCUCUAAGCGGGGGACACCUCCUGGAAACGGGGAUUAAUACCGCAUAAUAUGCCGAAGUCGCAUGACUUUGGUAUUAAAGCAGCAAUGCACUUAGAGAUGAGUGUGCGUCCCAUUAGGUAGUUGGUGAGGUAACGGCUCACCAAGCCUAUGAUGGGUAGCCGGUCUGAGAGGAUGGUCGGCCACACGGGCACUGAGACACGGGCCCGACUCCUACGGGAGGCAGCAGUAAGGAAUAUUGGUCAAUGGUGGAAACACUGAACCAGCCAUGCCGCGUGGAGGAAUAAGGUCCUACGGAUUGUAAACUCCUUUUGACGAGGAAGAAAAUGUUAGAUUAUCUAAUUUUGACGGUACUCGUAGAAUAAGCACCGGCUAACUACCGUGCCAGCAGCCGCGGUAAU
This 493-nucleotide ribosomal RNA is filed under the name uncultured bacterium. Its description in RNAcentral is "bacterial SSU rRNA". It matches the Rfam family "Bacterial small subunit ribosomal RNA", at positions 28 to 524 of the family's 1533-position model. The record is from RNAcentral.